Myotis davidii is the source of this 194-nucleotide long non-coding RNA. RefSeq lists it as uncharacterized. The record is from RefSeq and is a predicted model, not a curated record. The transcript is spliced from 3 exons. Lineage: Eukaryota; Metazoa; Chordata; Mammalia; Chiroptera; Vespertilionidae.
GGCCUCGCUGUGGGCCUGGUUCUGCUGGGAGCUGUGGCUGGAGCUGUGAUGAGGGGGAGGAGGCGCUCAGGUGGGAACAGAGGGAGCUAUGCUCAGGCUGCCACGUGAGGCAGCUGCCUUGUGGGGACUGAGUGAUGGAAGAUGUUCACGCUCCCACUUCCUGACUCAAGAACCUCUGAGUGGGACUGGCCCCG